UGGGGAAUAUUGGACAAUGGGCGAAAGCCUGAUCCAGCCAUGCCGCGUGUGUGAAGAAGGUCUUCGGAUUGUAAAGCACUUUAAGUUGGGAGGAAGGGCAUUAACCUAAUACGUUAGUGUUUUGACGUUACCGACAGAAUAAGCACCGGCUAACUCUGUGCCAGCAGCCGCGGUAAUACAGAGGGUGCAAGGGUUAAUCGGAAUUACUGGGCGUAAAGCGCGCGUAGGUGGUUUGUUAAGUUGGAUGUGAAAGCCCCGGGCUCAACCUGGGAACUGCAUCCAAAACUGGCAAGCUAGAGUACGGUAGAGGGUGGUGGAAUUUCCUGUGUAGCGGUGAAAUGCGUAGAUAUAGGAAGGAACACCAGUGGCGAAGGCGACCACCUGGACUGAUACUGACACUGAGGUGCGAAAGCGUGGGGAGCAAACA
RNAcentral lists this ribosomal RNA (427 nucleotides) under uncultured bacterium. RNAcentral describes it as "partial 16S ribosomal RNA". It matches the Rfam family "Bacterial small subunit ribosomal RNA", at positions 355 to 774 of the family's 1533-position model. The record is from RNAcentral.